GACGAACGCUGGCGGCGUGCUUAACACAUGCAAGUCGAACGCAAAGGCCCUGCUUUUGUGGGGUGCUCGAGUGGCGAACGGGUGAGUAACACGUGAGUAACCUGCCCUUGACUUUGGGAUAACUUCAGGAAACUGGGGCUAAUACCGGAUAGGAGCUCCUGCUGCAUGGUGGGGGUUGGAAAGUUUCGGCGGUUGGGGAUGGACUCGCGGCUUAUCAGCUUGUUGGUGGGGUAGUGGCUUACCAAGGCUUUGACGGGUAGCCGGCCUGAGAGGGUGACCGGCCACAUUGGGACUGAGAUAGGGCCCAGACUCCUACGGGAGGCAGCAGUGGGGAAUAUUGCACAAUGGGCGGAAGCCUGAUGCAGCAACGCCGCGUGCGGGAUGACGGCCUUCGGGUUGUAAACCGCUUUCGCCUGUGACGAAGCGUGAGUGACGGUAAUGGGUAAAGAAGCACCGGCUAACUACGUG
RNAcentral lists this ribosomal RNA (468 nucleotides) under uncultured bacterium. Its description in RNAcentral is "partial 16S ribosomal RNA". It matches the Rfam family "Bacterial small subunit ribosomal RNA", at positions 28 to 507 of the family's 1533-position model. The record is from RNAcentral.